UCGAAGUUUGACGGUGAUGGUUCUCCUUGGGCGCACUUCAGCCCGUGAGGUACAAGUCCAUAAGCCGACAAUAGAUACAAGGGAGUGAAAUUUGACCCGUAUCAAACUUCCCACAUUUGUUAGCAUUAAGCAGACGACAAAACAUGAAUGAAGAGCAUCACCCUCCGAGUGGGGUGUUAGUAGGACCAAGUGUGUCUUUGCCUGUACAGUCGGUGCACACAGCUCCUUCUCUGGGUAGCAGUGUAAUAGUUCAAAAUGCUAGUGUAGCCUCCCAAUUAACAUUAACAGUAGCAGUUACACAUUGAUAAUUUCGACAUACAUCCGAAGAGAAAACAAGUAUGGAAUAAAUUGAAUCAAUGAUCAAGAAUAAAAAAAGCAAAGUUAGAAUAUAUAAGAACUGCUGAAUCAUUUCAUAGUUCUUAGGAAAUACAGAAUAGAAAUACUACAUAAUAAAGAAUUGAAAGAAUAAAAAUGUUAAAGUUUAACUGAAAAGGGAGAGGCCAAUUUUAUAAAUUAGACCAUAUGUUUGACUGUAUGAAAAAAAAACCAUCACAUGACUACAGUAUCACAUUUUAAGAUCUAUUAUACACUAUAAAUAAUGCACAUAAUGUGAUAUAUCAACAGUAUUUAAGUUUGUUUUUUAUAAAAAAAAUUUCAAAAUUAUAAUUUUAAAGUGUAUACAACUGUAAAUUAAUAAUAAAAAUCCGGAUAUAAAAUAAAGAUAUUUUAUAUAAUGAUAAAUGUAUCAAGUGACUAUUAAUUUCUCAUUUCUCUUCUCUCAUGUAGCAUUUAGGAAAAUAUAUUUUAAAUAUGCGGUUGAACUUUUUCAAAGUCUUCCCUUUUUUCCUU
This is a long non-coding RNA of Centruroides sculpturatus (bark scorpion), 849 nucleotides long. RefSeq lists it as uncharacterized. The record is from RefSeq and is a predicted model, not a curated record. Lineage: Eukaryota; Metazoa; Arthropoda; Arachnida; Scorpiones; Buthidae. The transcript is spliced from 3 exons.